UACUGGGCGUAAAGCGUGCGCAGGCGGUUUUGUAAGACUGUCGUGAAAUCCCCGGGCUUAACCUGGGAAUGGCGAUGGUGACUGCAAGGCUAGAGUUUGGCAGAGGGGGGUAGAAUUCCACGUGUAGCAGUGAAAUGCGUAGAUAUGUGGAGGAACACCGAUGGCGAAGGCAGCCCCCUGGGUCAAAACUGACGCUCAUGCACGAAAGCGUGGGGAGCAAACAGGAUUAGAUACCCUGGUAGUCAAGGGCG
This 251-nucleotide ribosomal RNA is filed under the name uncultured Burkholderiales bacterium. RNAcentral's name for it is "partial 16S ribosomal RNA". It matches the Rfam family "Bacterial small subunit ribosomal RNA", at positions 552 to 802 of the family's 1533-position model. The record is from RNAcentral. Lineage: Bacteria; Pseudomonadati; Pseudomonadota; Betaproteobacteria; Burkholderiales.